RNAcentral lists this long non-coding RNA (12075 nucleotides) under Homo sapiens (human). Its description in RNAcentral is "HSALNT0311000". Lineage: Eukaryota; Metazoa; Chordata; Mammalia; Primates; Hominidae. The record is from RNAcentral.
ACUGUCUGCCUGCAACUGCACAAGAGAGCUGAGUGAAAACAAUCUUGCUGAGUUCAGUCAAGCUCCAGAAAUGUACGGGGUAAUUCUCAUCCAAUCAGUUGAAGACAUUAAGGAAAAGACUGAUAUUCCUGAGAAAGAGGAAAUUCUGCUAGCAGAUGGCCUUUGGACUCAAACUGCAACAUCAAUUCUUCCCUGGGUCUCUAGCCUGCUGACCUAACAUACCCCUCAAAUUUUGGACUUGCCAGCCUCUACAGUUGUGUGAGCCAAUUCCUUACAUCUCCUCCUCUCCCCUCACUCCAUCUCUCUCUAUCUGGUCGGCUUUGUGUAACACCACGAAAAUAAAACAAUACUUUCCUGUCUUCUGCUGAUUGGCACCUGUCUUUCUCUUCUGGGUAAGAUUGUUUCUGCUUGUUUAGAUAACAAGGCAGUCAUGAAUGGUAUCAAAAUGUGUCCAAUACUGACCACAUUGCUGGUGUUCAAUAAAUUAAAAAAUAUUUUAUUCUGUACCUGUGGUCUAUACCCUAGAAUUCAAACAGUUAACUGUCUUAUCUGCAUUCAGUAUUCCACUGCCACUUAAAAUAAAUGUGAAUUAAUAUAACAAUUCCUCUCAAAAUUAUAUCCGUUGGUUUAAAUAGCUUUGCUGUGUGUACAAAUACUUUGGGUGAAUGCAGUUAUUUAAUAGUUUAAAUCUAGUUUCAUUUUGAUAAUAUAGCAUUGUUCAACUAUUGAAAUGACUAAGUUCCCUUUUUGUAUGUCUUGUGAGAAACAUAGUAACUAGGAUAUUGUGUUUACAUGGUGUCUGUUUUCCUGAGCAGAGAGUUCAAAGCAGGUUAUACACAUUCCAUCUAUCUCAGCAUCCUUCGGUUAUUACAAUAAGUCCUUCCACUUUCUGGUGUGAUUCUGUCCCCUUUCAUCUAUCGAGCUUCUUUCUCCCCACUCCCUCCAGCCCUCACUUCCCACAACUUAUUUUAUGGUUUUCCUCUACUUAAUUUCACUAUUCUUUAAUAGGGUUUGAUUUACUGGGCAGGUCCUGCACCAGCUGAAGAUUACCAGGGAAAUAGCAAGGCAUUGGUUUAUGGUGUAUAGUUUAUGGUGUACACCCAGGCAUUGGUUUACGGUAUAUAGUUUUGAUAGUAAACUUAUCCAUUGGAAUGUAUAAAUGACAUAUAGGCAGAAUAAAUAAGUGGGUUCUACCAAUAUUGCUUGUUUUGGAAAAAAAUUAACAUAAGAUUCUAAACACACAUUACUACAUUUGUUUUUAGCAUCAAAGGUCAUUACAAUAAAGGACAAAAUUUAAAGAAACACAGUACAUGGAUUACAGAUUGACAUGGACUUUCUAAAAACCCACUGUGAUUUAUUCCUUCUUGCUGUGGACUGAGUGUCUGUAUCAUCCCCAAAUUUAGAUGUUGAAACCCUAAUCUCCAAUUUAAUGGUAUUUGGAGGUGGGCCCUUUGGGACGGAAUUAGGUUUAGGUUAGGUUGUGAGUGUGGGCUCUUGUGAUGGGAUUAUUGCCCUUAUAAAAACAGGAUAUCUGUCUUUCUCUGCCAUGUGAACAUGCAGCAAGAAGACUUCAAAACAGAGAAAGAGACUUUACUAGGAAUCAAAUCAUCCAGUACCUUGAUCUUGCACUUCUCAUCCUCCAAAACUAUGAGAAAUAAAUCAAGUAACCCAAUGCAACAUAUUUUUAUAGCAGCCCAAGCUGACUAAGAUACUCCCCAACCUGCCUUUGGUUGUGUUUUCUUAGUUUAUGGUAACUGUUUCCUGACACCCUUUGUAAGAUUCACCCUGUGUUUCUCUGCUCUGCUGGCUUCUAAAGUAUUGUUCACAAUAGAAAGACCUGUGCAUCAUGAGAGCUUCCCAUUAGGGCCCUGUUGUUCCUGCUUCUGCUGGUCUCUGCCAGCCACUUCUGAGCACCAAAUUUCUUCCCUCUGUUAUUUUGCUUUAUCACAGGGAUGGUCAGCAAUCCUUUAUGAACUCUAGUAGCUAUGCAAUGACAGCAAGAGGAUUUGGCCUUCAAAGGAGCCUCUUACCAAACUUUCUUAUUUCUGGAGCCAAAUUAACAUCUCAACCAUUCUGCUCUGAUCUUUCCCAUGGGUUCCUAUGGUCCCAUGGCAUCUCUUGGUCAUGUACACACACAAUAUGUUUCAUAUUUUUCCUCACGACUAAGGAGAUUUGACUAUUCUCCCUCACCAGCACCAGCUCAGUGAGGCACUGGCUUUGAUUUUGAAAUGGUUUAGCAUACAAUGGCUGAUGUCUAUCCAUUUUAGAGGAAGCAAACACGUUUACUUCCUUUACUAAAUUUCUUAUAGGAUCCCUGCCCUCUAUUGUUCAAAAAACAAAACAAAGCAAAACAAAAAACAGUUAAAUUGUGAUUUCCUGUUAAACAAUUUUAACAAGAACAAAAAAUAUAUUAAGGUAUAACUAGCAGGACUCAAAAAUAUUGACUUACAAAUUUUAAAAUCCAUUUUCCUCCUUUCACUACUGUCAAAUAACAGAAGAUUCUAUCCUGGGACUUCCUUAGUUGUACAGACAUCAGUGAAUUUGUUAGGAUAUUUUUGCUUACAAGUAAGAGAAGCCUGAUUCAAAUGGGCUUGAACAAGAUUUGCUACCUAACAUUUCUGGAGCUCCGUGGGUAGGACAAUCAGGGCUCGAGGCUGUUCCUCUGGGCUCUUCCCUGCAUUGUUUCAGAUUUACUCUUACCCUGGUACAAGAUGGUUGUAAACAGCAACUGUGGCAGAUGACUUCUUAAUGGGGGUUGAGGGAGUACAGAGAAGCGACAGAUUCUACCGUUCUAUGGAGUAGGGCAAGGAGAAAAGUGAGGUGCGCAGAGGGGCUAAGUGGACUGCCAUGACAAAGGCCUGGGCCAGAGAGGAGAUGGGAGAGGAGAGAAGGGAGGUGACAUAGAUUGAGUUAGAAAAAGGAUUUUUUGAAUCUUACACUGGAAAAGGAGAGGCACUUUAGGGCAUCAUCCAUGCAUGUAUGAAAUAUCAACAGCAAGAGAAAUGAGAAAGAAAAUUUGAAAGAGGUUUCUGGAGUGUUAGAAAUAUACUCUCCUUUGGUGUUUUCAUGAAAGACUGUAAAUUAAGAGUUACAUUGAUUUUCAAUUAUUUUGGUCACUGGAGUACGACAGAUACUAGAGGUUGGUUUGCUCAACACUUCAGCUGCCAUCUCUAUUACAGAAAGGUUAACCAUAUAAUUUAUCAUCUAAACAGGGACACUGGAGGCUAAAAGGGUACCUUAUUAAUGAUUAUGCAGGUACUAACAGUGUUAACCAGGACUAUCCCAUGCAAACCAAGACAUGAUUUAUUCGAAUAAUAUUUUAUUUAGAAUUGCUAUUAUAAUAGCUAUAAAGUGAAAUAUUCAACCACCUCCCUCACAUUUAGGGUGGUCAAGUCUCACUCUCACAGUUCCAGUCCAUGAGAUAGAGGCAGAAAUCCCUGAAAAAGACUUGCCUUUCUAAAUAAAUCAACACUAGAGAAUAGGCAUGGCUUCCUUUUCCUUUCUUCUGCUUGGACUACAGAUAUGGUGCCUGGAGAUACAUCAGCUACUUCAUGACCAUUAGGAUGAAAGACAAAUAUCUAGGAUGGUGAACAGAAAGAUGGAACGACAUUGAGAUGCUGAUGAUUUCAUAGAGCUGAUAUACAGGCACAAUCUGCUUACCUCCACACUUCUUGUAACAUGAGAAAAAUUAACCCUAACUUGGAAUGGAGACAGUACCUAGCCUUACAAGGCAGUUGCAAGAAUUAGAUAAUGAUUAUGUAGCUCUUUGUACAGUAAUUGACACAUAGGGCUCAAAAGCUGGUGCCUAUGGCUAUUAUUAUUAACUCAGUUUAACUUGCAGGUGUUUCUUCCUUUUCUUCUAGGAUGGGGUGAGUGGGGAAGGCAAUAGAGCAACCGCAAGAAAUGUUAAAAUGUCUAUUUCUAUAAGCAUGAUUAAAUGAUACUUUAUAUAAUGGGGACUGGCAAUCAAGACUUCAUUUUCUAUGGUUGGAGACAUAGUUGCUUCUACCAAAUGGAAAGAGGUGAUCACUAUGGACAAAGAUAGAGAACUGAUUGCAGAUAUAUUUGUUCCAGGGUCCAAAAGUUUUUCACUUUGCUACAGCAAUGAAUACCUAGGGAGAUGUUGAUCUCUCAGGUCCAGUGAAAAUUUUCCCCAACUGGAUCCAGAAAAAGAGUCAUUUGGUUUUAGAGAUUUAAAAAUAUUUAAAAGUAACCAUUUAAGUUUUUAGAUUUUCACACAACCUGUAAGUCAGAAAUCUUCAUAUUCAAUCUGCCAGAGGUCUUUGGUAAUUAAAUCACAUUUAGAAAUAUUUUCCAACAUGUUCUAGAGAAUGAGAUACGUACAUGUCUUUUAUUCAUGGUAAUGGAAAUAGAAGAAAAACUCAUUUCCACAGAUACUUCAUUUGGGCCCAAAAGUCAGGCCCUAUCUUUGUGCUGAGUAGGCUUUCUAUAAAUUAGGAGGGUGAAGUAGGUGUGGUUCCCUAGAAACACAGACUAAGACAGGCAUUUAGCUGCAUGUUGGGGUGUGCUCUCUGGAGAGAAACAAUAAGGAAAUCAAAAUAAAGAAGAAAAGAAUCUAGGCAGAUGUGGUAUCACCUGGAGUUUAGCUUUUGCUGAUCCCAUGGGAUGCUUUGGGGUAUGAAUUGUACCCAAGAGUUGAGCCCACCUUGAGGCAAGCGGUCUAGGAUUUUGUACCCUCAAGUCAGCCAGUCAGUGGCUGUGAGGUGUCCUCAGUUGGGUGGCAAAGGUGUUAUCUCUCGUGUGGCCUGUCUUUUUUCUGAGGCCAGUUCUUCAGAGAAGGAGACAUCCAUGAGCCAUUAGCAGCCAUCAUUUACCAAAGCUGGGAGACAGGUGUGCUGGCCUAAUAAAGGGGAUCUGGGAGAUACUCCAAUAGAGUCCCCUACAAAGAAUGCCCUCAUUUGAUGUCAACUAUGGGCCUCUUUUGCUUCUUCAUGGAGAAUGUGUUUGAAACCAAGGGAUUAAUGUCUUUAAAAGGGAUAACCAGUGUUUCUGAAGCUUGACCAAUAUGUGAACAGUUUCUUAAGAAGGGAAAGUUUUCUUAGUUUCCAACCUUGGCUUAAAUUGUUUUUCUUUUAACUUUGCUUAAAUAUAUAUAAACCCAAAAGUAUUGAUUAAUGUUCUCUGCUUGUAUUUCUUAAAAUGGUAUGAAACCAAAACAAAUUAGAAAGUAAAUCUUUGAAAGAAUGAGACCAUAAAAAAUCAAACUGACAACAUAAAUUCAAUGUGAUGCAUGGUGUUAUUUUGCUGGAACUAAAUUGCUGAUCUCAAAGUAAAUAUGUAACUGUGAAAUUGCACAGGAAGUCUCACAUGUCUCAUGUAGCCUAUGUUAUAUGAUGCCAUGGGAAGGACCAACUUCCCACCACUCUUCUGUAAUAGAACUUUUGUAAAACCCUAAUUUGUACAGAUCAUGAGGAUCUGUUUACUUUGAAAGAGAAUUAUUAACAUUUACAUACUGAUGGUUUCUACUUUUGUCAUUAGCUCACAAAAAUCAAAAGUGUACAUCUUGGCACUGUUGUGAUCAUAAACCAAAAUGCAACACAGACACCUAAAUGCUGUGGCCAUCCUUAGUAAGUAAAUCAUCCAUAAUGCACUUACACAAUUUUAUCAAAAUGAAAGCAUCAUAUUUUGCCAUUUAUUUAAAUAACUUUGUGAGCAUUUAGGGACCUCAGAGACUAUGUCUGCAACAUUCUCUGAUACUGCUCUUUCUCAUGAAACAGGAACAUGUACAGGUGCAGGGUGAGUUUGCCCACGUGAUGACACCUGAAAUACCCAAGAAAGAGAGUAUCUUUCUGACUCCUGUUGGUUGGGACAAGGGGAUAGCAUGAGGAAGGUGAGAGAACUGGAGGAUAAACCACUGACAGUUUGAAGGGCCACAGAGUGGGCUCUUUGCCUCAUAUCUCACUACAACGUUGACAAUGUAAUGACAGUGUCCCUGACUGCCUGGUGGUUCCGCAUGCAGAGUCUGACCCUCAUGCCACAUGAAUCUCCUGCCCUUACUUCUAACACAGCAUGCAGCAAAAGCAGCAGGGAGCCAUGGGCUCCUGCCUAGGAGAGUAUGGUGAGCAAGCUGGGACACUGGAGUUUUUGCUGCAUCCUCAGUGGUCACGAGCAUUGCCAUAUUGCCUGUAGGCAGUCCCAGCUGGGAAGGCUCAAGGACCUGAGUGCUUUUUCCCUGCCGAGGAAGGUUCCUGACUUUCUUGCCUCCCUUGCUUUCUUACAAAGUGCCUGAUUCCCUGAGGUAAUCUGAAUACAUCUUUUUCUCACUACCCGAAGAGCUUAAUGAAGACAGAAAAAAAUAGAAGAGUCUCUGCUGUCAUUGCGUGGGUGAAGUCUGCUCCCUAAUUCAAGAACAAGAAUCAGAAAUCAGAAUCAGGAACACUGAAUCAGAAAGUCCAAUGUGAGUCACAGUAGGUUAAAUAGAAUCUUGGGGUAGAGGGUUGGCAUUAGUCCCUUUAUGCCUAAUGUUCCAUUAUUGGAACACUAAUCAUGUGGGAGUUAUUUAUAUCCUACUGUUCAAGAUCAUAGCAAAGGUCUGAUUGCAAAAAUUCAAAAAAUUGCAACCUCAGGCAUAAAUGGGUUAAAAUCUACUGUGUCAAUAGAGGUAAAAGCAAAAUGGAAAACCAUAGUGGGCAGCUAUUGGAGCACAGCUGCAGGUUCACUCUAUUUCAGAGUGUUUCUUAAUUUAACAAUGGAAAAAAGGGAUUCAGUGGGGUUAAAUGAUCUUUAAGGUCUCAUUCACUUACUGAACAAAUAUUUAGUGAUCAGUAUCAGGCAAAAACUGGACACUGUGCUAGGUACCAUAUAUACAACAGACACAGUAUGAGUAGCUCAUGCCCUCAGGGUAUUCCAGGUUUAAAGGGGAGAUACUGGUGAGCAAACAGAUGGUCCUGAUUCAAUGAGACCAGUGCCAUGAAGAGAGAGGCAUGGAGAGCACACAGGCAUGCGGACCAAGCUAGCUUGGCACAGUCAGGGGGAGCAUCCUGAAGGAUAAGACACAAAGCAAACAGUGAAUGCUGGUGUCCUGUUCCAUUGUUUUGCUGAUUCCACUGCCCAGGGCUCUCAUAGGGAUUUCUGUGCCAGGAGCUCACUGCUUCCUGGGAGUGGAAGAACAGCCAGGAAUCCCGGGACAAAGCUGCACUCAACCUUCAUGCUCUUUUCAGUGACAUUCAUUGAAAGAAGGAAUUUUCUGAAAAUGUUCUCCACCAGUUUCUCCUACUUCAAUUUGUAUGUACACCAUGAACAGAAUGUUUCCCAGAUCUCCCUUCAUAAGACUCUUUAACUCAGAUUUUUUCCAUAUAAAUUCCAAUCUCCUGCCUACUUGUAAGACCAAGAUCACCUCACCUAUCUUAUCUUACCUCACUGUUCCCAGCAUGCCCUCUUCCAUUCAUUUAAGUCAUAGGCAUUAAGACAGCCCUACCUGGUAGUGAUCUCUAACAUUCAUUGGAGAAUGAUGUAAAGUACUCUAGAAGAGCCUUCCCACUCAAAAAGUGGUCCCUGGACCAGUAGCAUUAAUGCCACCUGGGAGUUUGUUAAAAUUUGCAAAAUCCCAGACCCCAGUCCAGACCUACUGAAUCAGAACUUAAAUUUCAGUAAGAUCCUCAGGUGAUUCUUGCAUAUAUUAAAAUUUGAGAAAUUAUUUUGAAGAGAUAAGCAUAAUUUAAUUCUAGAUGACAUACAGGCCACCUACACUAGCUUUAUUUGUAAGCAUAACCUCAUUUUAAUUUUUUAUCUUAAAAAUAACAAAAACUUAUAUUUGUCAAGUUUUUUACUGUUGUUGAGUGAAAGUUACAGCAUUUUGUUAAUUAAUUUGCAUAGUUCUGGCAUUCUUGCUAAUUUUAAAAGCAUGCUCAAGGUUCGUAAAAUAAUUUUAAAAAUCAGCAACUAAAUAUCAACAUUUUCUAUCACAAAACAUAUAAACAUAAAAUUAUAAAUGCAUUGAAAAUAUAAAUGCUAAAUAUGUAUUAACAGAUAACAUUAAUAAAGUAUCGUGCUAAAACACAUUACAUAAGAAAUGAGAAUUAUAAAACAUUUAAAAAUAUAAUUUUCUCUUUUUUAAAAGAUGAAAAUGUUAAAUCUUUUUACGAUAUGAUAUACAUUGAUUUUUCUUUUAAACUGCAUAUACAUUGUGGCAUAAUCUAAAUAGAAGAAUCAUGGUAAAUGUUUCCAAAGUCUUAGUACUACUUCUAAUUUCUGAAUUUUUUUUUUCAGCUUUUAUUUUAGAUUCAAGGGUUACAUGUGCAGGCUUGUUACCCGGGUAUAUUGCUUGAUGAUGAGGUUUGGGAUAUGAAUAAUCCUAUUACCCAGGUACUGAGUACAAUACCCAAUAGGUAGUUUUUCAACUCUUUUCUCCCAUUUUUCCUCCUCCCAUCUAGUAGUCCCCAGUCUCUGUUGUUGCCAUAUUUAUGUUCAUGAGUACCCACCGUUUAGCUCCCACUUGUAAGUGAGAACAUGCUUAUAUUUGGUCUUUGGUUUUCUUUUUCUGUUAGUUUGCUUUGGAUAAUGGGCUCCAGCUCCACCCACGUUGCUGCAAAGGACAUGAUCUCAUUCUUUUUUAUGGCUACAUAGUAUUUAAUGGUGUAUAUGUACAUUUUCUUCAUGCAAUCUACCAUUGAUGGGCACCUAGGUUGAUUAGAUGUCUUUGCUAUUGUGACUAGUGCUGUGCUGUGAUGAACAUAUGAGUGUGUGUGUCUUUUGGUAGAACAAUUUGUUUUUAGUUGCAUAUAUAUUCAGUAUUGGGAUUGCUGGCUUCAGUGGUAGUUCUGCUUUAAGUUAUUUGAGACAUCUACAAACUGCUUCCCACAGCCACUGAACUAAUUUACAUUCCCACCAACAGUGUAUAAGAACUCUCUUUUCUCUACACCCUUACCAGCAUCUGUUAUUUUUUGACUUUUUAAUAAUAGUCAUUAUGACUGGCAUGAGAUGCCAUUUCCUUAUGUAUUUGAUAUGCAUUUAUCUGAUGAUUAGUGCUGUUGAGCAUUUUUUCAUAUGUUUGUUGGCCACUUGCAUAUCUUCUUUUGAGAAGUGUCUGUUCAUGUCUGUUGCCCAUUAUUAAUGGAGUUGUUUUAUGCAUGUUCAAUUGUUUAAGUUUCUAUCUGAAAAUAAGGCAAAAUGAAGGCAAUGUGUGCAUUAAUACAUAAUUGGGUAGUAUAUUUUUGUAUACAUUUUUCUGGCUGCUGAAACGGCUCUCAUGUGUUCUCAUCAGGGAAUAUGAGAAAGAAGAUGCUUUAUUUUCAAAUAAUCAUAUAAUUGUUUCUCCUGCUUCAGGGGACUUUUGAACAACUUUCAGGAGCUAAAAUUAUAUAUAUACAUAUAUAUGUAUGUGUAUAUAUAUAUACGUAUAUAUGCGCACACACACGUAUAUAUGUAUAUCUUCGUGUGUGUGUGUAUAUAUAUAUAUAUACUCUUUCUAUAUGUUUAUAUGUGUGUGAGUAUAUACAUAUAUAUGACGUGGUUUGGUUUUGUCUCCACUGAAAUCUCAUCUUGAAUUUUAGUUCCCAUAAUACCCAUGUGUCAUGGGAGGGACCAGGUGAAGAUAAUUGAAUCAUGGGACAGUUUCCUCCAUCCUGUUCUUGUGAAAGUUCUCACAAGAUCUGAUGGUUCUUAAGGGGCUUCCUCCUUUGCUGGGCACUCAUUCUCUCUCCUACUGCCCUGUGAAGAGGUGCCUUCCACCAUGAUUAUAAGUUUCCUGAGGCCUCCCCAGCCAUGUGGAACUGUGAGUUAAUUAAACCUCUCUCCUUUAUAAAUUACACAGUUUCAGGUAUAUAUUUAUUAGCAGUGUGAGAACAAACUAAUACAGCAAAUUGGUACCAGGUAGUGGGGCACUACCAUAAAGAUACCUGAAAAUGUGGAAGCGAAUUUUGAACUGGAUAAAAGGCAAAGGUUGGAACAGCUUGGAGGGCUCAGAAGAAGAGAGGAAAAUGUGGGAAGGUUUGGAACUUCCUAGAGACUUGGAGAACUCAGGAGAAAAAAAAAAGAUGUGGGAAAGUUGGGAACUUCCUAAAGACUUGUGGAAUGGCUUUGACCAAAAUGCUGUUAGUGAUAUAGACAACGAAGUCCAGGCUGAGGUGGUUUCAGAUGGAGAUGAGGAACUUGGGAACUGGAGCAAAGGUGACUUGUUAUGUUUUAGCAAAGAGACUAGCAGCAUUUUGCGCUCGCCCUAGAGAUCUGUGGAACUUUGAACUUGAGAGAGAUGAUUUAGGGUAUCUACUAGAAGGAAUUUCUAAGCAGCAAAGCAUUCAAGAAGUGGUAGAGCAUAAAUGUUUAGAAACUUUGCAGCCUGAUGAUGUGGUAGAAAAGAAAAACCCAUUUUCUAGGGAGAAAUUCAAGCUGGCUGCAGAAAUUUGCAUAAGUAACAAGGAGCCAAAUGUUAAUCACCAAGGCAAUGGGGAAAAUGUCUCCAGGGCAUGUCAGAGACCUUUCACAGUAACCCCAGAGGCCUAAGAGGAAAAAAUGGUUUCCUGGGACAGAUCCAGGGUGCCCCUGCUGUGUGCAGCCAGGGACGUAGUACCCUGUGUCCCAGGUGCUCUAGCCAUGGCUAAAAGGGGCCCAGUUACAGCUCGGGCCAUGGCUUCAGAGGUGCAAGCCCCAAGUCUUUGCAGUUUCCAUGUGGUGCUGGUCCUACAGGUACACAUGAGACAAUAAUUGAAGUUUGAGAACCUCUGCCUAGAUUUCAGAGGAUGUAUGGAAACACCUGGAUGUGCUGCAGGGGUGAAGCCCUCAUGUAGAACCUUUGCUAGGGUAGUGCAGGAAGGAAAUGUGGGGUUGGAGCCCCAACACAGCAUACCCACUGGGGUACUGCCUAGUAGAGCUGUGAGAGGAGGACCAUCCUCCAGACCCCAGAAUGAUAGAUCCACUGAUAGCCUGCACCAUCACCUGGAACAGCCACAGACACUCAACACCAGCCAUGAAAGCAGCUGAGAAGGGGGCUGUACCCCACAAAGCCACAAGGGCAGAGCUGCCCAAGGUCAUGGGAGCACACUUCUUGCAUCAGCAUGACCUGAAUGUGAGACAUGGACUCAAAGGAGAUUGUGGAGCUUUAAGAGAUUUAAUUACUGCCCUAUUGCACUUCAGACUUACAUGGGUUCUGUAGCCUUUUUGUGUUGGCCAAAUUCUCCCAUUUGGAACAGGUGUACUUAUCCAAUGCCUGUACCCACAUUGUAUCUGGGAAGUAGCUAACUUGCUUUUGAUUUUACAGGUUCAGAGGUGAAAGGGACUUGCCUUGUCUUAGAUAAGACUUUGGACUUGGACUUUUGAGUUAAUGCUGGAAUGAGUUAAGACUUUGGGAGACUGUUGGAAGGACAUGAUUGCGUUUUGAAUUGUGGGGACAUGAGAUUUGGGAGGACCCAGGGGUGAAAUUAUAUGAUUUGGCUCUGUGUCCCCACCCAAAUCUCAUCUUGAAUUUUAGUUCCCAUAAACCCCACAUGUCAUGGGAGGGACCAGGUGGAGAUAAUUGAAUCAUGAGAGCAUUUUCCCCCAUCCUGUUCUUGAGAUAGUGAGUUAGUUAUCAUGAGAUCUGAGGGUUUUAUAAGGGGCUUCCCUCUUUGCUGGGCACUCAUUCUUUCUCCUACCACCCUGUGAAGAGGUGCCUUCCACUAUGACUGUAAGUUUCCUGAGGCCUCCCCAGCCAUGUGGAACUGUGAGUCAAUUAAACCUCUUUCCUUUAUAAAUUACCCAGUCUCUGGUAUGUCUUUAUUAGCAGCGUGAGAAUGGACUAAUACUAUCUAUCUAUCUAUCUAUCUAUCUAUCUAUCUAUCUAUGAAUGGACUAAUACCAUAUAUAUAGAGAGAUAGAGAUCUAUAUCUAUGUAAAUAUAUAUAGAUAUAUAUGCAGAGAGAGAGAGAGAGCACACUGAAUUUUUGCUACUUCAGCUUCAUUUGUAUCUUCUUUGGUUUUAUUUUCUACCGCUAGAUACUUUAAGCAGUUACCUUUUCCAAUUUCAAAACUGUCAGAUUUAUAUGCCACUUGUGCAGAAGUCCUUUGAAGUAGAUAGGACUUAUUCUUAUGAAUGAGAAUUUACUAUAUCAAUUGUCAUUUUCUUCAUCUUCAGGAAUCUGG